RNAcentral lists this transfer RNA (86 nucleotides) under Flavobacteriales bacterium. RNAcentral describes it as "tRNA-Leu". It matches the Rfam family "tRNA". Rfam says of the family: Transfer RNA (tRNA) molecules are approximately 80 nucleotides in length. Their secondary structure includes four short double-helical elements and three loops (D, anti-codon, and T loops). Lineage: Bacteria; Pseudomonadati; Bacteroidota; Flavobacteriia; Flavobacteriales. The record is from RNAcentral.
GCCCGGAUGGUGGAAUUGGUAGACACGUUGGACUUAAAAUCCAAUGGACAGUAAUGUCCGUGCGGGUUCAAGUCCCGCUCCGGGUA